This 75-nucleotide transfer RNA is filed under the name Ligilactobacillus agilis. RNAcentral describes it as "tRNA-Asp". It matches the Rfam family "tRNA". Rfam says of the family: Transfer RNA (tRNA) molecules are approximately 80 nucleotides in length. Their secondary structure includes four short double-helical elements and three loops (D, anti-codon, and T loops). Further hydrogen bonds mediate the characteristic L-shaped molecular structure. tRNAs have two regions of fundamental functional importance: the anti-codon, which is responsible for specific mRNA codon recognition, and the 3' end, to which the tRNAs corresponding amino acid is attached (by aminoacyl-tRNA synthetases). tRNAs cope with the degeneracy of the genetic code in two manners: having more than one tRNA (with a specific anti-codon) for a particular amino acid; and 'wobble' base-pairing, i.e. permitting non-standard base-pairing at the 3rd anti-codon position. Lineage: Bacteria; Bacillati; Bacillota; Bacilli; Lactobacillales; Lactobacillaceae. The record is from RNAcentral.
UGGUCCAUUGGAGUAGUGGUUAUCUCGUCUCCCUGUCACGGAGAAGAUCGUCGGUUCAAAUCCGUCAUGGACCGU